CGCAGAGCAACGGGGGCUCAUUAUCACCGGGAGGAGCUACGGUCCGGUCAGGUUUAGAGGAGCGCUACGGGUGUAAGGGGACAACUUUGAGGAGAGGAUCAAUACUUCACGUCACCAGUCAUUCGAUUAACGAAGUUAUAAACAAGAGCUGUUUGAAGAAAGAACAAAACAACCUUAUCUCCCGACCUGAGGAUGAUUUAUGGUAAUUCUGGAACAAUCCUGAGGACUCCGUACAGUAAACAGCCGCCUGUCGCGCCGUCGCAGCCCAUAGCCCUGCCCACGGCCCCGCCCACGGCCCCGCCCACGGCCCCGCCCAUGGCCCCGCCCACGGCCCCGCCCACGGCCCCGCCCAGCCCAAACAGCAGCAGCAGCAGCAGCACAGCGGGCUGGGAGACCCUCAGCCGGACCAACCUGUACCUCCGGGGGCUGACCCCCACCACCAGCGACUACGACCUGGUCCAGCUGUGUGGGCCGUACGGGAAGAUCGUAUCUACCAAAGCCAUCCUGGACAAGACGACCAACAAAUGUAAAGGUUACGGCUUCGUGGACUUCGACAGCCCGGCGGCGGCGCAGCAGGCAGUGGCGGCGCUGAAGAGCAACGGAGUCCAGGCUCAAAUGGCCAAGCAACAGGAGCAGGACCCCACCAACCUGUACCUGUCCAACCUGCCGCUGAGCGUGGACGAGCAGCAGCUGGAGGCUCUGCUGAAGGCCUUCGGUCCGGUGGUCUCCACCCGCGUGCUGCGGGACCCCUCUGGGGCCAGCAGGGGGGUGGGCUUCGCCAGGAUGGAAUCGAAGGAGAAGUGUGAGGCCAUCAUCGCUCACUUCAACGGGAAGUUCAUGAAGACCCCGCCCGGAGUGCCCGCUCCCCUGCAGCCCCUGCUGUGUAAGUUUGCAGACGGAGGCCAGAAGAAGAGGCAGAGCCACAACAAGUUUGUUCCCAGCGAGCGUGGCUGGCUGAGGGAGGGGGAGCGGCUGGCUGGGAUGACGCUGACCUAUGACCCCACGGCAGCCAUGCAGAACGGGUUGUAUGCGUCUCCAUACGGGCUGGCCAGCAGGAUGAUGGGCCUGGCUCUCUCUCCGUACGUCUCCACCGUCUCCCCCUACCAGGUGCAGAGCCCGUGGGUGCAGCACCAGCCCUACAUCAUGCAGCACCCAGGUGCGGUGCUGUCUCCCUCCAUGGAGCCCGCCCCCAUGCUCCCGCUCUCCCAGGGGAUGGGACACCCCUGGGAUGGGUCACUCAGCAGCACGGGGCCGUUCCUGGCAGCAGGCAGCGGUCUGCAGGGAGCCUACCUCUCCCAGUACGCCCAAAUGCAGAGCACAGCACUUCCUGUGGAGGUGAGGGGAGGAAACCAGUACUAACCUGACCGGACUGUUACUGGACAACGGCGCUCAGUCCCAGAUGGAUACGUCUGGGAACCGUUCUCCCUACUUUUACCAGCAGAACAAGUAGUGUGGAGGUCACGUUCUAGUGCAGAGGUCACGUUCUAGUGCAGAGGUCACACUGGUGCGGAGGUCAGAGGUCACACUAGUGCAGACCGCUAAAGCAAUCAUGGCUUCCUGAAACAAUAAUGCAAAGGACUCUUAAGGAUUUUUUCACCAUUUUGCACAAAUUUUGCAAUUCAUUUCUUUGUGUUUAUAUUUAGAAUACAAUACCCUAUUUUUGUUAUAACAUUUUAUUUUGAUAAGGACAUUUAUUUAAAAAAAGAUUUCCUCAGGAUCGGAGUGUCUGGACACCAGACCUGGUGAACUGCAUCAUGGGAAAUGUGUAUUUUGUUUGUAGUUUUGCGAUUUAUUUUCCUCCAUUUGUUCAAGCUUUGCUCAGAAGACUUUGCUCAACUUCCUCUAAAGAUGACUUGUUUGCUGUGUUUUGCUGGUGAAGAGUUCAAUGUGCUCUUCUUUGUAGCGGAAGUGUUUCAUUCUCACCACUGAUCCUGGAACACUUUGCCUUAAUAGUUUCCUCCUUCUAGUUUUAGACAAGAGAAUUGAAUGCAAUGUAUCUCAUUGUGCUUUUGAACUGAUGUGUAUUAGAAUGAUAAAGGUGUGAAUAGUUUUUUUAACCUUUGCUGAGGGUGUUGUAGAGCUGUUCACUGGGUGUGUGGGCUCGGGGCGAGCUUCUGUCUUUUGGUUGAUGUCCUGUCAUUUAGAGCAUGUGUGUAUUUGUUUUGCUUUGAUUUGAAAUGCAAACAAUUUAGUCAACUUUACUUCACUAAAGACGAAGUGGACUGAGGGGACAUUUGUUUGGAGACCAGGAAUCGACUCCCUGGGCCUAGACUAGAAGUUUGGACAAUGUGCCUUUUUUGUACAUUUGCAUUUGUAUCGUACACGAAGGCUUGGAUCCCAGUGCCACAUAUGACGUCUUCACUACAUACAAACAGUUAAACGGGAAGAAUGUCAGAUAGUUGAUGGUAGAGUUCCGGUAGUUCAGAACUCUGACCUCACAUCGAGUGGCUGGCCACCGCGGCCCCCUGCUGUUAGGUUCAUCAUUCUGCUCUGAUCAGACGGGAGCAGGCUCUGCAGCACCGCCUGUGUUCUACCUCAGUUCUCCUGUUCCUCCUCCUGAGGUUUGGGUUAGCAGGUCCAAGCCUUCCAGACGCUCCCGCUUUAAUCCUUCCCUUCUCAGAACCCUCCCGCGUGAUGCCGUAGGGGGGAGUAUGUAAGAGGAUGUUUUUAUCAGAUCUGUACAGACUUCGUUUGAAGUUCAAGUUUUUUUUUAAGACGAAGCGUGAAAACAGACCCGUGGUACAUCCUGGAGCUCCGGCUCCCUGUCCGCCCCCAACAUCUCGCAGAACCCAGGAACCGGCCGCAGAACCGGCCGGGAGCGGGAGCUGCUCCUAGAGGAGGAGUAACGAGUCGGGGGUGGAGCUAGAGGAGGAGCAACGAGUCGGGGGUGGAGCGGUGUGGAGACCAUGAGGGACUGAAUGAAAAGUACUCCUCUCAGUUACCAUCAUGUCAUUAAGUUAUAUUAAGAAGUAAUAAUUUAUGAAGAGUUUUGUACAGUCCGUUUGAGGAAUUAAAAGAGAUUCAUAGAAAUAUCUAUACGAAAGCUAUUUGUUUUAACGUGCCACUAAUUUGCCAGUGGUCACUUGUUUGGUCUCCAAUGGGUCGUUCCUCAAGCCAAAGACUUUAUGCUGGAUGAUCCCUUGGCUUUACCUUCUGUCCAUUUCUUUGACAUUUUUGUAAUAAAAACAUGAAAGCGUC
This is an RNA transcript of Gadus macrocephalus (Pacific cod), 3198 nucleotides long. It is a transcript of the gene named RNA-binding motif, single-stranded-interacting protein 1-like, with no coding region annotated. The record is from RefSeq and is a predicted model, not a curated record. NCBI's taxonomy places the organism in Eukaryota, Metazoa, Chordata, Actinopteri, Gadiformes, Gadidae. The transcript is spliced from 14 exons.